UACGGGGGGAGCAAGCGUUGUUCGGAUUUACUGGGCGUAAAGGGCGCGUAGGCGGUCAGCACAAGUCAGUUGUGAAAUCUCCGGGCUUAACUCGGAAAGGUCAACUGAUACUGUGCGACUAGAGUGCAGAAGGGGCAACUGGAAUUCUCGGUGUAGCGGUGAAAUGCGUAGAUAUCUGGAGGAACACCGGUGGCGAAGGCGGCAUCCUGGACCGAGAUUGACGCUGAGGCGCGAAAGCCAGGGGAGCAAACGGG
Molecule: ribosomal RNA, 254 nt
Filed under: uncultured bacterium
Lineage: Bacteria
Description: partial 16S ribosomal RNA
Rfam family: Bacterial small subunit ribosomal RNA
Source: RNAcentral